This 468-nucleotide ribosomal RNA is filed under the name uncultured bacterium. RNAcentral describes it as "partial 16S ribosomal RNA". It matches the Rfam family "Bacterial small subunit ribosomal RNA", at positions 28 to 507 of the family's 1533-position model. The record is from RNAcentral.
GACGAACGCUGGCGGCGUGCUUAACACAUGCAAGUCGAACGGAAAGGCCCUGCUUUUGUGGGGUGCUCGAGUGGCGAACGGGUGAGUAACACGUGAGUAACCUGCCCUUGACUUUGGGAUAACUUCAGGAAACUGGGGCUAAUAUCGGAUAGGAGCUCCUGCUGCAUGGUGGGGGUUGGAAAGUUUCGGCGGUUGGGGAUGGACUCGCGGCUUAUCGGCUUGUUGGUGGGGUAGUGGCUUACCAAGGCUUUGACGGGUAGCCGGCCUGAGAGGGUGACCGGCCACAUUGGGACUGAGAUACGGCCCAGACUCCUACGGGAGGCAGCAGUGGGGAAUAUUGCACACUGGGCGGAAGCCUGAUGCAGCAACGCCGCGUGCGGGAUGACGGCCUUCGGGUUGUAAACCGCUUUCGCCUGUGACGAAGCGUGAGUGACGGUAAUGGGUAAAGAAGCACCGGCUAACUACGUG